CUGAAAUUUUGCUGUAGAAGUAGGUUGCUUUAAUCUGUUCCCAGCGGCACCGUGAGUUCUUCAAACAGCCCUGUGUGAGCCACUGGGUGAUGGACAGGAAAGAUGUUGGUCUAGAGACUGGGACCCCAGGUACCCGAGAUGCCCUUGUCCAUAACUCUGGCUCUUAGGACCCAGAAGGUGAUUUCUGCAUCCCAUGUUUUGUCUCUCCGGAAUCAUCCUCCAGGGGAACACACACUCCCCCACCAGUGUGAAGAGAGGUCUGGGCAUCAGCCUGGGAGCAUAGCAAUUACUGAGCACCUCCUCUGGGAGCAUCAACGAUGUGUUGGGUGCUGUCCAAGGACACGUCACAACUAUCCUGAAGGAACUGAGUGCUGAUCAGGAGAUUGUAUUGGACAUUAUACAAAGAACCAGGAUGUCCGGUAGAAGAUGGUUAAAAACUGCAGGAAGUCUUCAUUUGAGAGCACCUCAGCUCAGAGGAAAGCAGCACCUGACCUGCCAGCCAACGCCAGACACUUACUGAUCAGGAUUAAAAAGAAGAUUUCUGAUGCUUAGAAGCAUCAGGCGAACUCACCUAGGGCACGUAGUGGGCUGAAACCCAGGUGGGCUGGUUCCCACCUUUCCCCACUCAGGAGGAGAGGGAGUUCCACUCUGGGGGGACCAGACUCCUUCUGCCCCAGGCGCUCAUGCUCUAGUGAGAAGAUAAGCCACCGACCUGGAGACUCUAGAUCAAGGUCUUUGCUUCUGACCCCAUAGUGGCCUCUACCUCAUGGGUCUGGCUUCCUCAAGACCUUCUACCAGCCUGCUCAGAGCCCCACUUACUUAAGUCUCCUCCAUGGUCAUUCCUAUACGCUCCUCCCCACUCCGGCUGCCCCAGUGUCUCAAGGCCAGGGGGACAAACAGAGUGAACACUCUUCUGUGUGGCAGGUCCAGUCCCUACAGAUAAGGGAGAGGAGACCAGACAGGGCUUCUUUAUCUCUGAUAGGUUGUUAUGUCUUUUCCCAGAUUGAUUCUGAAGAUUCACCUCCCAACUGCUAAGAACGAGCUCUUCCUUUUCUGCAACUCCUUUCUCAUUUCCUUAGACUAGGAGACAGGCACCAUGAGGUGGGGAACGGGGGGCUACUGUGAUUUCUUCCACGCAGUGUCUAGCACAGAGUAGACAGCAAAUAAUGAAUGAACGAAUGGGUUCAGAAUUAGACUCAGCCUUUCGUGUUAAAGACAGAAGAGGAAAGAGACCUGGACCAAAAUGUGGAAGGGCUCAGAACCUCUUAUUCCCUGGCUGCUGUCCCGAUGAUGCUUUAGUCUUCUUGAAUGUAAACCCUGGGGGCUGUCAUGACAUCAGCCCCUCCUGCAAUGCUCCAGAGGGAAGCAGAAAACAUUCUCACUCACUUUAUCACAUGCAGCCUCUGGAACUGGGAGCCCCAGUGAUUCCUUUGCCUUCUGGAGCCAGCCCAGACAGUCAGUCAGUUAACACUAUUCUAGGCCCAGGAGAUGGUGGGGUAAGCUGAGGAUUUCCUUUAGAGGUAUGCUUUCAGGGCAAGAUUUUUAGUAGCUCACUCCUCUUCCCUACCAGAUGGUGAAGGACAUGGAAGAUAAAAGUCUUUCAUUUGCAUUUUCUGGGCCAUGCAUCCUGAAGUGGGGUGAGCCCCACGUGCCUUUCUCCCUCUCCCUCGCCGUGUGUGCUCUGCUGAACUGGGGGAGGCAGGAGACUGCUGUGAAGGAUGGAAGCAACAACACCCACAGAGCACUUUCCAGUAACUCUGCUAUCUCAUAGCACUCCCAAAAAGGACUGGGGAGGUGUUGAUCCAUUUCACAGAUGAGCAAAGUGAGGCUCUGAUGGGCCAACAUACCCAAGGUCCCCGAACUACUGAGUGUCGGGGUCAGGAUUUGGACCCAGGCUCUCUGAUUCCAGAGACUGGGGCUGGAGGUGGGGGGAGACCAUCUGGAAAGCAAAUGGAGCCUGGUCAUGGCUCUUGAGUCUUCAGGCUUUGCCCUCCUGGAUAAAGAAUACUUGAAAGAACAUCUUGCUUGAAAUGACCCCCAAUAAAUCUCUCCUCUAAUUAAGACACCGUGACUCUACAGGUGAAUUAAAACACACACGUUUUUCUUGGGAAGAGUGUGAGUGUCAACCCAAAGGCCCAUCAGACUUAUUAGCAAACACCAGGCCGUUCGAUCAGCUUGCUGUCACCCCGAAAGCAGAAAGCACCCCUCAGAGGCUGGAUCUUUAGGGCAGGUGCCAUUUGAAGGAGGUGCAGGGCUGACAGAAAGGUUACAAUCUUCAGUGGUAUUAGCAGUAACAGCACAUCCAAGGUCAAGGUGGCGAUAUUCCCUCUGCGUUCCUUCCGAGUCACACCACACCUGGGUUGUGAGUUCAGUUCUAAGCAUGACCUUCAAAAUAGGAGGCUGAAAAAAAGAAACAGAGGGGACCAGAGGCACAUAGAGAGGAACCCUCAACCAUUCCCACCAAGGAUGAAUUAAAAGAAUAAAGUAUAUUUUACCCAAGAAGAGAAGACUGAGGGUGAAAUGGAAGUUGUGGCAAGGAACUGAGCCCUGCUCCCCCGUUGUUAACAACUAUGUGAGGGCGACAUCUUGCAUGUGGAUCCUUCAGCCCAAGUCCAGCCUUCAGAUGACCGCCACUCUGGAUGACAGCUUGACCGUAACCUCUGAGAAACACUGAGCCUGAACCAUCCAGCUAUGGCCAGGAGUGGGGUUGUUGAAUCAUAGUGUUAAGUCUCUUUUUAGUUUUUCAAGGAAUCUUUAUACUGUUUUCCAUAGUGACUGCACCAAAUUAUAUCCCCACCAAACAGUGUAGGAGGGCUCCCUUUUCUCCACACCCUCUCCAGCAUUUAUCGUUCGUGGGCUUUUUAAUAAUGGCCAUUCUGACCAGUGUGAGGUGAUGUCUCAUCAUAGUUUUGAUUUGCAUUUCUGUGAUAAUUAGCAAUAUUGAGCAUCUUUUCUCGUGCCGGUUGGCCACUGGAUGUCCUCUUUGGAGAAACUGAACUACCCAGCCAUGGAGCUCCUGGAUUCCUGGCCCUCAGCCACUGUGUGAGAUAAUAAACGUUUUUUGCUCUAAGCUGCUAAAUUUGCAGCGAUCUGUUACACAGCUCUGGAUAACUAGCACUAUACUCAUUCUGCUGUCUGCUCGGAGAAAUUCUGCUCUUGGCCGUAAGAGUGUUUUGUCAGCAGACUGCUCAGAGAAUAUUUUCACUGCUAGAGCGAAAAAUAGAAUUUCUUCUUCUUUCUUCUUUGGUCCUAAAUUGACUGCUUUGAGCUUUGAACCUGCCUCUAGCACUGACGUGGAGAUUGGUGAAUUAACACACCAGUUCCUUCUCAAUAUUUUAAAUGUAACUGUGACCGAACUCCCUGAGGAGGGUCCUCCCAGAAGCUAGUCUGGAGCCACCAGGGAUGUUUCUCUGAGUCUAGUAGUUGCUGUAUUCUGCUUUGGCUGGACCUUCUGGUUGAGAGAAAGGUCAUCCUGGGGGAAGUCACAUGGGAUCUCCCAGAGAGAAGUCAGGAAAAAAAAUGGCAGCAGUGGGGCUGAAGGGCAGCGGUUGAAGAAGGUGAAAUUCACCUUUCAGAGUCAAAGAAAAAGAGAGAAAAAGCCCAUCAGGCAUCGAGCCUUCGUCCCUGCGUUUCCUCUCUGUGUGCACAGGUGUGUUUUUUCCUCUCACCAUCUUGAGAAUCUUCAAAGAACUAGAGGCCAGCAUCAGCACAGGUCUUAUUCAUGGCUUUCCCCUUAAUUCUGAUUUCCUGUUACAGGAUAGGAAGCUACAGUGUGGGUUAGGGGAGGGGAAGGGGCAACAAACAUGCUGAGUCCCUGGGGACUAAGGCAAAGGAAGAAAUGAGCCCAGGAGAAGCUGGUCUGGGUCGGUGAAGGAGAUCUGAGCACUUCACGUGUCCUCAUCGAGUUCCCGGACUGUUCCCUGCUGUUUCUUACUCUGCCUGUAAUUCAGGUGGGUGCCACCAGGUGGAGAAGUGUCUGGACUGCAACCCCUUGACUCGUAUGAUUUCCCAUGGGUGUGGGUGGCUGAGCAGGUAGGUUUAACCAUCACGCUUCAAACUGUUCACAAAAAUCACAAAAUGCUCAUUACUGAGAAAGGACUCCCCCACUAAAGAGAGUCGUAAAUUUAUGAAGUUACUUCUCACUAAUCCUCUCCAGGUCUUUGUUGCCUCAUCUUUAAAGUGGGUCAAGCAAGGUGCUUUCUAAUGUCCAGCUCUGAAAGUCUAGGGUUCAGUUCCAGACCACCAAAAUAAGGUGACUAUCACAAUAAAGUGAGUCACACGAGUUUUUUUGGUUUCCUAGUGCAUGUAACAGUUCUGUUCACACUCUAUUGUAGUCUAUUAAGUGUGCAAUCGCAUUAUGUCUAAAAAAGCAAUGCACACAGCUUAAUUUAAAAAUACUUUGUUGCUAACCAUCAUUGGAAGCUUCAGUGUGUCUUUUUAUUUUUGCAACAGUAACAUCAAAGAUAACUGAUCAUGGAUCACCAUAACAAAUAUAAUAAUAAUGAGAAAGUUUGAAAUACUGUGGCAAUUACCAAAAUGUGACACGGAGACAUGAAGAGAGCGAGUGCCAUUGGAAAAAUGGUGCCGAUAGACGUGCUUGACACAGGGUUGCCACAAUAAUUUGCAAAAAACACAGUAUCUGUGAUGUGCAAUAAAGUACGCCUGCACUGGCCACAAA
Camelus dromedarius (Arabian camel) is the source of this 4678-nucleotide long non-coding RNA. RefSeq lists it as uncharacterized. Lineage: Eukaryota; Metazoa; Chordata; Mammalia; Artiodactyla; Camelidae. The transcript is spliced from 3 exons. The record is from RefSeq and is a predicted model, not a curated record.